AAAGACCCCUAUGCGUCUCUCUCUCUCUCUCUCUCUCUCUCUCUCUCUCUCUUUUCCUCCAUUGUUGGCUUAAGCUUUAAGCUUAGAGUGGAAGUCUUUAGAGUGAGAUUUUGCAAAAGUGUUGUAAAUGAAAGUCGGAGAGCUUGUUGUGAUCUUCGUAAUGGUAGUCUCGGAUUCAGAUCGGGCAAGAAUUGCCUCCCAAAUCUACUCUUCUUCAUUAUUUGAGAUCAAAAACCUUGAUUUCUCAAGAUCCAUUUGCGUUUUGCCGUUGCUUCUUCAUCAAAGUGGGUUAUCAUCUCGAGGGCUUCGUUGUGUGUGAUGAAGAUCGAGUUCCGACACCGUUGAUUUUGGAGGUUUCAUCUCAUUUCUUCUUCAAAACUUGAGGAAAAGAUGUGGUGAUGCCGCCUAACUAAGGGCAAGGAAAUGUGUGUUAAGAGUACGAGACUCUCAUUUUGCUGUGACUCUGUGUGUAAGCCAAGGGUUGUAUGUGUGUGGGUUUGAAUAUCCGUUUUGUGUAACCAGACUCAAGCCUUGAAAACUUGCAAACCCUUGGGGAUAUUUAUUUGUUUAUUUACUUGUUGUUGGAUUAAUGUAUUGUUGCAUAAAGAACUAUUGUAUCAUGUAAUGUAAGUUUGGAGAUUUAUAUUCAGUUUUUCUUGAAAGAGCCA
Camellia sinensis is the source of this 668-nucleotide long non-coding RNA. RefSeq lists it as uncharacterized. NCBI's taxonomy places the organism in Eukaryota, Viridiplantae, Streptophyta, Magnoliopsida, Ericales, Theaceae. The record is from RefSeq and is a predicted model, not a curated record.